UACGUAGGGGGCAAGCGUUGUCCGGAUUUAUUGGGCGUAAAGAGCGUGUAGGCGGUUUGGUAGGUCCGUUGUGAAAACUCGAGGCUCAACCUCGAGACGCCGAUGGAAACCAUCAGACUAGAGUCCGGAAGAGGAGAGUGGAAUUCCUGGUGUAGCGGUGAAAUGCGCAGAUAUCAGGAAGAACACCCGUGGCUAAGGCGGUUCUCUAGUACGGUACUGACGCUGAGACGCGAAAGCGUGGGGAGCGAACAGG
RNAcentral lists this ribosomal RNA (253 nucleotides) under uncultured bacterium. RNAcentral describes it as "partial 16S ribosomal RNA". It matches the Rfam family "Bacterial small subunit ribosomal RNA", at positions 524 to 776 of the family's 1533-position model. The record is from RNAcentral.